This 1558-nucleotide unclassified non-coding RNA is filed under the name uncultured fungus. Lineage: Eukaryota; Fungi. The record is from RNAcentral.
CGGCGUUCAUCGAUCAGUGGCCACCAGUCGUACAGCAGGACUUCCAGGGGACGCCACAUCGCGACCCAUCCGGUGAUGACGAGUCCCUCGCGAAGGAUCUCUCGCAGAGCCUGCUCUUGGUCACGCAAGUCGGCCAGUGCAUCCCAUACCUGUGGGUAGCGUUCGAAAAUUGGCUGCAGGAUCCAGCGAAUCCGAUGUGGUUCUUUAUCCUCCUCUGGUUCUCGAUCUUCACAUUUGUGGCGAUUCCCUGCAGCAUUCGGCUUGGCGCCUUGUGGGGUGCUCAGGACAGUCGGAUGCCUCGUUUCCUACCGCCCUUCAAUUCGCCCUCGCAUUAGGAUCCGGCCAGUCUCCGACAGGCCCAACGUUUGGUCCGCACUACGGCGUCACACAGUAGUAGAUCCCGUCCGCGCGGCCCCCGCGCCGUAUAAUCCACCCAAGGUGCGUCGUGACGAAGUCGACUUGAACGUGAGUGGACUUCAGGCUGUCCUUGUCCAGCGGGUGCAAGUCCCGCCUCGGUAAGCGCCGGAGCGCCGAGUAGCAGACCCCAGGCGUCGUGAGAGAUCACGAGGUCCGAGCGGGGUGUUAGAAGCCUCUACGGAGGAAGCGAGCACACGGGCCGCAACUUAACGUGAAGCCUGCAGAUCGCACAUCGAUUGGUUGGCUUUCGGAUUCCCGUACGAACCGUAUAGUGCUCCACCAGAAUCGAUCGUGCGGAAUACAUUCGGGCUGGUCGCCGGCCUCGACGUUUUGCUGCGCGCUGGUCGUCAUCUGAGCGUGGUACCGCAGCUCCGGGUCCACUGGAUCGCGCCGGAGGACGAUUCGACGGCGGCGUCACCGCGGUUCCUAGGACUCAGCCCGAUCCUGUGGCAACCUGCGAUCAGCCUUCGAACAACUUUUUGAAGCUCCGCAAGCAGUGACCAAACGCGACUCUGACAUUGGUCCACGAACCAUGAGCCGGCAAGGCCGCUGGGCGUUUCUGGCCUUGGUGGUCGCACAAGCCGCACAUUCGCUCGAGGAGUACAUCUUUCGUCUCUUUGACGUGUUUGCGCCCGCACGUUUCGUGAGCGGCUUGGUCAGCACGAAUCUGGGCGUCGGGUUCGUGGUGGUCAACGCGGCACUCGUCUUGUUCGGGCUCUGGUGCUAUUUCGCGCGCGUGCGGCCAGGUCACCCGUCCGGCCCUGUAUUCGCAUGGUCCUGGACGGCGCUGGAGUUCGCCAACGGAAUCGGGCACAGCCUUCUGGCGUUAUCACGAGGUGGUUAUUUCCCAGGAGUGGCGACGGCUCCUGCGCUGCUCGGCGUGUCAGCGUAUCUCGCUUUCCGGCUCUCGACGCUGUCGCGCUCGUGAUGCCGUCGUAUCCACCGAACACGAAGGCCACCAUGGACCGCCUGAUGAGUCUAAGGCGAGUCUGAGCCUAAGGCCGUGCCGUCGGGAAGAACUCGUGACUUCCCGCCGCCAAAACCGCUCCACGAUUGGCUGUGUCCAUCUCCCGAGCGCGGCUAUCAGACGGCGAGGCGGGUGCCGAUGCCAGCCGACGUGGUGAAAAGUUUACCAGCCCAC